RNAcentral lists this ribosomal RNA (613 nucleotides) under uncultured bacterium. RNAcentral's name for it is "bacterial SSU rRNA". It matches the Rfam family "Bacterial small subunit ribosomal RNA", at positions 338 to 953 of the family's 1533-position model. The record is from RNAcentral.
CCUACGGGAGGCAGCAGUAGGGAAUAUUGGGCAAUGGAGGAAACUCUGACCCAGCCAUGCCGCGUGCAGGAUGACGGCCCUCUGGGUUGUAAACUGCUUUUAUACGGGAAGAAAAAAUGCUACGUGUAGCACAUUGACGGUACCGUAAGAAUAAGGAUCGGCUAACUCCGUGCCAGCAGCCGCGGUAAUACGGAGGAUCCAAGCGUUGUCCGGAUUUAUUGGGUUUAAAGGGUGCGUAGGCGGAUCUUUAAGUCAGUGGUGAAAGCCUGCAGCUCAACUGUAGAACAGCCAUUGAAACUGAAGAUCUUGAAUAUGGUUAAAGUAGGCGGAAUGUAUCAUGUAGCGGUGAAAUGCUUAGAUAUGAUACAGAACACCGAUAGCGAAGGCAGCUUGCUGAACCAUUAUUGACGCUGAGGCACGAAAGCGUGGGGAGCAAACAGGAUUAGAUACCCUGGUAGUCCACGCCCUAAACGUUGAUUACUCGUUGUUGGCGAUAUACUGUCAGCGACUAAGCUAAAGCGUUAAGUAAUCCACCUGGGAAGUACGACCGCAAGGUUGAAACUCAAAGUGAAUUGACGGCUGAGACGAGCGACGACGACGACGAGGGAGGAGG